AUGGUAUUCUUCUUCCGACAGGUCUUCCUGCUGGCCAUAGACUUACUACUCGCAAUGACCCUCUCUUGCCUCCUUUACGCCUUCGUAUGCAUUUCCAUUGCAUUUCUGACCUGCUUCACUAUCUUCUUCUUCUUUGGAAUUAUGGAGAGGAACAUUGAUGUAAAAGGGAGGGCGAUUGUAAUCCUCGUGUCCAACAGCUCCAUUGGCAGGAUGUUUGCAAGGAACCUGGAUAAAGCCGGUUUUAAAGUGUCUGCUGCGCACUGGCCUCCUCAGAAGGAAUGGAAGACUACAAAGGAAGAGUGCUCUCCAAGCAUCGAGACAGCACAGCUCCACAUGACUGACGACGAGUAUCAGAAGAUGAUGAAAAACUUCAUAGAAAGCCACGUAUCCCUGAAAGGCAUGUAUGGGACGAUGAAGAAGCCGUCAAUCCUGAUAUGGGAAGAACAGGAAUUGCACACAAACAGGUCACCCGAGAGAAAAGCCUCUUACAAAUGGAAGAAAGUUUUCAAGGCUUCAGCCUUCUGUGUCGCAGUCCUCUUUCGCCCACUGAACUGGGCACUGACUUUUCUGAAGACAGGUCUGCAGUUACUCACGUGCCUGGUGAAGUCCAAAAACUGAGAGGAAAAGAAAACCAUGGAGCAAUACUUGUUAAUAUUGCAAUGCCACAAUCAAAAGAAGCUACAGGAAGGAAAAUAGCUGGGAUCAACAGUGACGAGUUCCUGGCCGGGGAUAAUUCUGAAUGGUGACUCCAACUGCAGGACAACAAAAAAACUGUGAAACAGGUCUCUAUCUUACUUGCAAGACUAAUCUGCAAGGAAGAGAACACUGAAUUUCUGGGUUGUACAGCACAAGGCUGUGCUCUACACGCUGCGAUACAAACAUACAGAGGGCAAAACCAUCUGAGGUGAAAUGAAAUAAAGGAAGAACUCUGCUGAGAAGAAAAAUGCUA
RNAcentral lists this long non-coding RNA (949 nucleotides) under Struthio camelus australis. RNAcentral's name for it is "lncRNA (ENSSCUG00000011308.1)". The record is from RNAcentral. Lineage: Eukaryota; Metazoa; Chordata; Aves; Struthioniformes; Struthionidae.